GAAUCCCAGCAUGGCGGCGGGAGGGGGAAUGUGAGGAGAUGUGAGAUGUGAGGAGAUGUGAGAUGUGAGGUGAAGGAGCGGGAUGGAGCCGGCAGUGUAUUGCGGGGCUGCGUUAAAUACAGAUUUAAAGCAGGCUUGGUCAGCCUUGUCCAUAAAGCUGAUGCUUUAAGAAGGAUCCUACGAACAUUGUGUUCCUUCAUCCGGCAACUUUUCCAAGUAAGAAUAUUCUAUUCAGGCCGGUUUCUUCCGUUCCCCUCCUGCUGACAGUUAAUGAUAUGGAAUCUGAACCAUGCUGACAAUGGCAAGUGCAGCGGCUCCACCCUAGAAAGCAAAGCAGACAAAGCAGAGUGACCAUGGGAUACAUGUAAAGUAUCCAGCUCAGCAAGAUCUAUAUAUUAUAUAUAUAUAUAUAUAUAGACCAUAUAAAAGCAAAGUCUGAGCAAACUGCCCAAGCCAAAACUGAAAUUUUUAUCCUGUGGUGGUUCUUAAGGUGGUUUUGGGGUGGGUACAGUUAAUUUUGUAAGUCGAGUCUAUUCAAAUUCAUCAUUAUUUCACCUUUAAUCUUUUGUACAACACAGUUCAACAAUACUUGCGCUGUGUGAGCAGUGCAGCUCUUUCCUAUCGCGUGGAUGAAUUUACGUGGGUACAAAGCCUGCUUCUGUUAACACGACUUUUCCCCUUCGUGUUAGAGAACAGAACUGUCCUGAGACACAGAGAACGUUGAGUUGUGUGCUUGUGUCUGUGCCAGAUCUGUACAGGAGCAGGACCUGAUUUACACACAGCUCAGGUGCUCUGGAGGGUGUGCUCUCACUCUGAUGUCAAAGAGUGCAGUGUUUUCAUCCUCAGUCCAGGGUCACCGUUGUAUCUGAUCAACCUUUACACACAGCAUCAUUUGAUCUGGUUCUGAUAAGCCUGCUGAAAAUGAAGUACAUUGCGUGCUACCGACUCAGCUGUUUUGCCUCCAGACCGUCCAUCUUUCAGCUGGCAUCGAUUUCACACAGAGCUGCUAAAACCUUUUUGCGCGAUCCUGAAUGUUUCCUGAGAGAUUCAACUCUCUGGGGACUUCAAGACUCCAGUCUGACAUGUGGGUUGUUGAACCGCGGCGCCGUGUAUCCAGAAAGCUCCCUGACACAGCACCUGGGCAUGGUCUGCCCCAGUCAUGGAAAUGCGAGGAACUGAUGGUGAGAACAGCAACGCUUCCUAAAGAAAUGGUGAAUAACUUUGCCAAGGGGAGCUGGUCACUGCCCCUUUGUUUUUAUGAACAGUCUGGAAUUGCACUUAAGCAGCUGUAUGUGGUCAGGAUGUUAACCAGCUAUACAAAAGAAAGCCAGCUCAGGAGAUGAAGCAGCAACUUGAAGGCCCUGCUGCAAUGCUGACAGCACAGUGACUCAGACAGAUGCCACCCACUGAACCUCCUUGGAUGCUGGGCUCCACCCCGCAGCCUCCUUGGAUGAGAUGCAACAGAUGCACACGCUUCCCUUCCCAUGCACGCAUUUCCAAUUCACACAGAGAGCGAUGAGUGUGUAUAUAUACACACACACACACAUUAUACAUCGACAUUUAAAUAUAAUAUACCGCCAGAGUUCUGAUUUUUUAAAUAUCUGAAGGAUGUGGUAUCUUGGAAACCAAUUGCUUCAAGUUGCCCAAAUCAAUUACAGAGUGAAUCAACACAUUGCUUCAGCGUGGGAGUAGCGAGCAGCUGGUGAUGCUGCUGUCCCCAUCCUCGGGGGAUGCGGGGCUCUGCCAGCCCCCAGGUGCCCACCCCCAGCCAUGCCCAGCACUGCAGCCACAGGGCAAUGGGCACAGAGUGAGCAGCUGCAGGGAGUGCUCAGUGUGACACCAUGGCUGGUGCCUUCACUUGGAAGGUGUAUGAGGGUCAAAGAGGGGAUAAUCCAUUAAACAGUAUACAGAGGUGAUUUAACUCCUUGAUAUGAGUAUUUGCGCUCAGCUGAAUUAUUUCAUUACCUGACUGCUCAGCAAUCAAACCAAAGCAAUCCGCCAAGCAUUAUUUUCUCAUAUUUUCUCUACUGACGUCAUUCAGGCAAAUAAGAUUCUGCAAAUGAAGUCAUGUGUGUUUGUCCUAUUUCCUAAUGAGGGAACAUCAUAGUGGGCACUGAGUGAGCUCAUAGCACACUGACGUCAGCAGGAGAUGACAUUUCCAGGGCAGCACUUGGAGAUUUAUGAUGUAGAUAAAUGAACAUUUUAACAGAGCUGAAAUCAGAAAGCUGUGGUUCUGAAGCGCGAUCCUGAGGCACGAGAAAGGAUAUACGUUCAUUUCUGACAGCCCUGAGCUCAGCCGGGAGGCAGAAGGCAGAGCUAGAAGGGAGUCUGCCUCCAAUACAGGGGUGGUCACCAGCUCCUUAUUGCAACUCCGAGUGUGUUGGUUUUGUUCCCCUCAGAUCGGUUUUGCUUUUAACUAAUGGUCCAGAACUGGGAUUAUAUGGCUUGGAGAGUGUGGGAUGCUGAGAGAAGAGAUUGCUGAGCUAAACAGUUGGCAGAAUUAAGAGAACCAGAAAGACACGUGGGCAUAAAGAAAUAAUUCACUAUUAAACUGCUGGCAGAAUUCAUGAAGUGUGUUUGCAGUUAAGAUCACAGUGAGCCAUUUACUCGCUGUUAUUGGAAAUAAGGCCCACCAGCAAAGGCAGUUUGCUUACAGUGGCUUUGCAAAUACGACAGAGCAAGAAGCUGGUGGGUCUUGCUGCUCUCAUUCUUCUGCAUGCUGCGUGUCCGAGAGCUCUCUGGGUAACUGCUGAGUUAAGUGGUGCAGGAGCAGCAAGGAUUCACCUCCUGUUUCAUCCACACAGACUUGAGAGAUAAAAUCCAAGGGCUGAUGCUGUUUUCUGGGUUAGGGCUUUACGUACAGCUCCUCUUGCCCUGAAAUACUGCUUCCCUUCAGGAGGAGGCAGAUGAUGCAGCUGGCCUCCUGCCCAAAUACUAACAGUGCAUUUUUGUUUCCAAGGCCUUCCAGGCCAAAAGACAGCGCUGGUUCUAGCAAGUGCCAGCACAGGAGCCCUCCCACAGCCCCGUCCCUGUUCUGAGGCCAGCUGUACCCAAAACACUGGUGAAGGAAGAGAUAACAGACCUUGCACCGACUUUCCCAUCGAACAGAAAGGAGCACAGAGUUGCAGAAAGGCUGAGAGCAGGAAAAACCUUCCUGCAAAAAAAGCAGGAGCUCCUGCUUCGCAGCAGCACAAAGCGAGAGCCCCAUUUGCCAGAGGGUGGCACGAGAGGCCGUGGGGCAGCUUUUACCUUUCUGAGCAGCACCUGGCACCACAGCCACAGCUUCAAUGCGUCACCUGGAGCAGCUCCCGGGGCACCUACACCUUCACUUCAACUGUGGAAGCGCAUCCCUCUGCUGAAGGACAGCACUGACACAAGUUUUCCAGACCUCUUCCUCGGUUACAGCCAGCUUCUUACCCAUACAACACAAGCGUUGUGAACCACAACAGCCGGAAGCAUUUUUCCCCUCUUACUGGGAGUUUUCUGCCGCCAGGUGGCAAUAGAACCACAGCCAGCAUCCCCCGCUACUCCAAAAUAAAGAAAUAAAGAAACGAAAUAGAACCUAAUUUCAGCGUGUCCCACAACCCUGUUGUUGUCGGACGUGUUUUCCUCCUGCUCAUUUCUCUGCUUUUCUGACUUCCAACAUCUCCUCCGCAUCCCACCCACAUAAGCCCAUAACGGCCCCUCCGCACCAAUGGCUUCUUGUUCGUCGUUUUCUAUGGGCACGUGAGGUCGGAUUGGGUCUUAAUGCCGCGUUUUGGAUGAAUUCAGUCACUUUCAUUCACAUCCGUUUUGUAGGUAAUUGUAAUCACACGGAACUGAAGUUUAAAGACCAACAAAUGAGGUGAGCACGCGUGUGCCCGCACAGCACAGAACAGCCAGCCAAAGCUCUGCUGCCACCUGCUUGAAAUAAAGCGAUAUAAACCGCACCAGAGCGACUCCUUACACAGCCGACAGCUGCAAACACGAGAGCGCAAAGUAAUUCCUUGGUGCCUUUUGGGGUCCCUCCUCACCAUCACAGCACAGGAUGCUGCUGAGGAAGGAGGUGCCAGGAAUAAGGGUGUCCAGCUUUGCACACGUCGGGCGUUAAGGCGACAAACAGAGAAACCAGAGAACGUGGUGUAGGAAAAGGAGUUCGUUCACCUUUAUUUCAUUUCGCCACAAUCCCAAACGUGACAGACGUAGAAAAAUAUCCUUGAGUCUCGUAGACAAAGUUACCAGCGCUAAAUAGCCCUUUGCUCUGACUGGGCGCUACAGAUACGUUUGUACAACGUUCCUUCCUCUCUUUCCUACAGAGGAAAAGCCGUCUCUAACCGAACACAUGCAUACGGGGUAUCUUCCAAAUGGAACCAAAUCAGCAUCGGGAAGAAACAAAAUCUCAUGGUGCACUUGGAGGAGAAAACAACUGAGAACAACCACAGGAAAGGAGUCAUUAACCAAAGACAUUUCAAAGCAAAUCCUGUGAACCGUCUGUGGGUAAGUUAAAGUCUCUGUGGCACAACUUCUCAGCAACAAAUUAAGGCAAAGACCGACAUCUUAUAUAAAAAUAGCUGAGCAGGCUUCUGGAGAAGGAAAUGAGCAUCUCUGUUAAUACAGCAUCAUAAAUACCCUUACAUGGACUGAACAACCACAAGAAAAGAAUCAAGAUAAACACAUGGUGUUAUUUCACCAGGCAUCCAUCUCUCCAAUAAGCCAAGAUCGAACAUCCUGGACUACAGCAGAGGUACAUCAGGUCAAGACUGAUAGUGGUUUGUUUUGCUAAACAUACAGAUACAGAUAACAGGGAUGCAGUACAAACACUAACGUAUCACAUUGAGCCACUCAGCCUACAAGCCUUGCUAGAUCGGCCCAGAAGGAAAUCACCCUCAUUUUAGGAUUGCUUUUAGUUGGUUAAUACAGACCAAGGUUUAAACUUCCUGAAGAAAAACGAAACCCAAUUGUGAAAUUAAAACAGAAAUCAUCGCGGCAGAAGAUUCACCACCUCUUCAUAAAUACAGCAGCUUGUUUAUAUGCCAGGAUCGGGCACCUUGGUUCUGCUGCCUCCCCACGUGUUUCAUAGACACAGACAUGGGGGCAAUGAUGGGGACUUGCUUCUUUUUAAGAUUACAUUAAAUGUCUGUGUUUACACGGGAGCUGUAGCUUGCUCCUGACCCAUUUUAAUGUCACGUUUGCUUACAAGCAAAUCCAAAUAGAUCUUAAAGGUUUUUAUGCAUAUGGUUAUUAAAAAAAUAAAUAAAACAGGAAAUGAAGAUACCAGAAACUAAAAUACGAGAGCGUUCUUUCCAGAUGUUGUACCUCAGAAAAAGCAAAAUCCUGCCCCUUGUCAUCACAUCACUGAGACUGACCCGUCCCUCUCAUCAGUUCAUCUGUGGUGCAUUAAGAAACGUCACAUAGUCAUUUGGUACCAGAGUAUUUCUAAGUGUAAUAUUCAUUCCUUACAAUAGCUGUACCACAACCCGCACAGCUGGGAAGAUUCACUGCGCUGCCCUUAAACAUUAAUAGAAAUAUUCACUACCGUUAACAUAUGCUGAUCUUUUUUCUCCCAAAGAUCACAUCUUCGUUAUUUCCCUGUCCACAGACUGAGACAAAUUACAUGAGAGAAAAACAGAACAAAACCCAAACCGAAUGUUUCACACAACUAAAAAACAGGCACAGAGUUAGAGGAUGCGUGUUGGAAAUAAUUUAUUGCCUAUAAAAGCUUUUUUUAUUUUAUUUUAUUUUCUUAAUUCACAUUUUCUGUGUUGUUUUAAAGGUGGUGUUAACGUUUCAGAGGUAGUGUGUGUAAAAUGAAAUACAGAACUGGAAAAGAUUUACUUCAUUCAGUAAUACAGUAAAACGUUCACCGUAACCAAAGCUCUGACCUGAAACCAUUUUCCUCACAGACAUUCUUAAGCAUCUUUUAUUGAGAAUGAAUGCAUUUCUGCCUAAAUCCCACACCCACCACUGCCCCUUUCACAUCUGCUGCCUUCUGACCACCGUGCCAGCCACCACCUCACAGACACAAACACUCUAGCCAAGAGUGGAACCCUAUUUAUUCUACCACUGAAAGCGCUUUACGGUACCGCUUGUUUGAUUUGCUCCUAAUUUUUAACAUUUGGCUCAUGUGCCAAAAUGUUCAUCACACCAUAAAACAUCUCCUCUUUGGCCUGGCAUCUGACAACUGAUCAACUUAUUAAGUGUUAGGAUGAUUUGGGGCAGAAAAGGCGGAGCCCUGAAAUGAAGGCUGAACAUCAGGCAGCUGCCAGUCCCCCCAAUGCGUAAAGCAGCCUCAUAGCUCCCAGCUGAUCCGAAGGAUCUGGGCAGCAGGACUGGAGGUAGUAAAUUAAGCUUUUGGUUGCUACGUUAUGGAUUCUUCAUGGUUCAGAUAUUCUGUGUGCUAUUCCAUUUAUGCAUAUUAUUUCUGUCUUCUGUCACUAUCCUGAGACCAACAGUCAGCUAUGACUACAGUACCUCUGGAAAAGUCAG
This is a non-coding RNA of Coturnix japonica (Japanese quail), 6465 nucleotides long. The record is from RefSeq and is a predicted model, not a curated record. Lineage: Eukaryota; Metazoa; Chordata; Aves; Galliformes; Phasianidae.